RNAcentral lists this unclassified non-coding RNA (342 nucleotides) under uncultured bacterium. RNAcentral's name for it is "contains 16S-23S intergenic spacer region". The record is from RNAcentral.
CAAUCCGAGAAUUUCACCUCCAACUGUUGAAUACAAAUGCCCCCAGUUGUCCCUGUCAAUCAAAACUGGAAUUCUGAAACCAAAAAAGAACAACAGUACUGCAUUAUUCCAUGCUGAGAUAUUCAAAGCAAUUGCUUGCUGAGAGCACCCUGAUUUCUUCAAAGUACACCCACUUGUACAUCACACCACACAAUCAAGUGCAGACGCAAUGCUAAGUGGCAUGCAAAAGCAGAGCCAUACAUACACACCCAGCGGGCAGACUGGUCAGUUUUUGCAAACAUCAAACUACGAGCUUUUUAACCGCAACAACUUUAAUAUACGCCAUUGGAGCUGGAAUUACCG